RNAcentral lists this ribosomal RNA (768 nucleotides) under uncultured bacterium. Its description in RNAcentral is "bacterial SSU rRNA". It matches the Rfam family "Bacterial small subunit ribosomal RNA", at positions 28 to 776 of the family's 1533-position model. The record is from RNAcentral.
AACGAACGCUGGCGGCGGGGCUUAGGCAUGCAAGUCGAGCGAGAAAGGGGCAACCCAAGUAAAGCGGCGUAAGGGUGAGUAAUGGGUAGCUAACGUACCCUCCAGACGCGAAUAAUUUCCCGAAAGGGAUUGUAAUGCGCGAUGAGACCACGGCUUCUUCGGGAGCAGGGGUCAAAGGCCAGGGAUCCUUCGGGACCUGACGGCUGGGGGAGCGGGCGACCUCCGAUUAGCUAGUUGGCGGGGUAACGGCCCACCAAGGCGAUGAUCGGUAGCCGGGCUGAGAGGCUGUCCGGCCACACUGGCACUGAGACACUGGCCAGACUCCUACGGGAGGCUGCAGUCGCGAAUUUUUCACAAUGGGCGCAAGCCUGAUGAAGCCACGCCGUGUGCGGGAUGAAGGCUCUUUGAGUUGUAAACCGCUGUCAAGUGGGGGGAAACGUAUGGUGUUAACAGCGCCAUGCUUGACUGCCCGCUAAAGGAAGCCCCGGCAAAACAUGUGCCAGCAGCCGCGGUAAUACAUGUGGGGCAAGCGUUGUUCGGAAUCACUGGGCAUAAAGGGUGCGUAGGCGGCUUGUUAAGUCAGGGGUGAAAUCCCACGGCCCAACCGUGGAACUGCCUUUGAUACUGAUGAGCUUGAGUGCGUGAGGGGUAACCGGAACGAGUAGUGUAGCGGUGAAAUGCGUAGAUAUUACUCGGAAGGCCAAAGGCGAAGGCAGGUUACUGGUACGCAACUGACGCUGAGGCACGAAAGCGUGGGGAGCAAACAGG